This 74-nucleotide transfer RNA is filed under the name Enterobacteriaceae endosymbiont of Plateumaris consimilis. Its description in RNAcentral is "tRNA-Arg". It matches the Rfam family "tRNA". From Rfam's summary of the family: Transfer RNA (tRNA) molecules are approximately 80 nucleotides in length. Their secondary structure includes four short double-helical elements and three loops (D, anti-codon, and T loops). The record is from RNAcentral. Lineage: Bacteria; Pseudomonadati; Pseudomonadota; Gammaproteobacteria; Enterobacterales; Enterobacteriaceae.
GCAUCCGUAACUCAGUGGAAUAGAGUACUCGGCUACGAACCGAGCGGUCGGAGGUUCGAAUCCUCCCGGAUGCA